Molecule: RNA transcript, 9315 nt
Organism: Cercocebus atys (sooty mangabey)
Lineage: Eukaryota; Metazoa; Chordata; Mammalia; Primates; Cercopithecidae
Gene: NBAS
Gene name: neuroblastoma amplified sequence
Exons: 53
Source: RefSeq, a predicted model, not a curated record
UUCCCCGUGAAUCAAAAGCGGCCGCGGCUAGGGAAGCUUGUCCUGUGAGGGAUUCCGUAGAGGCACUCCUCCACUGCUUGAGUCCCGGGCGAACAUGGCGGCCCCCGAGUCAGGGCCGGCUUUGAGUCCAGGCGCUGCAGAGGGUGAGGAGGAGACGAUUCUCUAUGACUUGUUGGUCAACACCGAGUGGCCACCGGAGACUGAAGUACAGCCUAGAGGCAACCGAAAGCAUGGUGCAUCCUUUAUCAUCACGAAAGCAAUUCGAGAUCGUUUAUUAUUUUUACGCCAAUACAUCUGGUACAGCCCUGCACCUUUUUUGCUCCCUGAUGGACUGGUUCGCUUGAUUAAUAAACAGAUAAACUGGCAUUUGGUACUAGCAAGCAAUGGAAAGCUUUUGGCUGCUGUUCAAGAUCAGUGUGUGGAAAUCAGGUCUGCAAAAGAUGAUUUUACAUCCAUUAUCGGGAAAUGUCAAGUUCCGAAAGACCCGAAACCCCAGUGGAGACGGGUAGCAUGGAGUUAUGAUUGUACCCUACUGGCCUAUGCUGAAAGCACAGGAACUGUGAGGGUGUUUGAUCUCAUGGGAAGUGAACUCUUUGUCAUUUCCCCGGCAUCUAGUUUUAUAGGUGAUUUAAGCUAUGCCAUUGCUGGGUUGAUCUUUUUAGAAUAUAAAGCAAGUGCACAGUGGUCUGCAGAACUCCUGGUCAUCAAUUACCGAGGAGAACUUAGAAGUUACCUUGUAAGUGUUGGAACAAAUCAGAGCUACCAAGAAAGUCACUGUUUCAGCUUCAGUAGUCAUUAUCCUCAUGGAAUCAACACAGCUAUUUACCACCCUGGUCACAGACUUUUGUUGGUCGGUGGAUGUGAAACUGCUGAAGUAGGCAUGUCAAAAGCUUCUAGCUGUGGCCUUUCUGCCUGGAGAGUUCUUUCAGGAUCUCCGUAUUACAAGCAGGUUACUAAUGGUGGAGACAGAGUUACUGCGGCACCGAAGACACUGGGAUUAUUAAGGAUGUUAAGCAUCAAGUUUUACAGUCACCAGGGACAAGAACAGGAUGGAAUUUUUAAGAUGAGCCUUUCUCCGGACGGGAUGCUCCUGGCAGCCAUUCACUUCUCAGGGAAACUGAGCAUCUGGGCGAUUCCAUCUCUGAAGCAGCAGGGGGAAUGGAGUCAAAAUGAGCAGCCAGGCUAUGAUGACCUUAAUCCUGACUGGAGGCUCUCUACUGAGAAGAGAAAAAAAGUCAAAGAUAAAGAGUCCUUUUACCCACUGAUAGAUGUCAAUUGGUGGGCAGACAGUGCAGUGACUUUAGCUCGAUGCUCUGGUGCCUUAACUGUUUCGUCGGUGAAAACUUUGAAGAAUUUACUGGGAAAAUCCUGUGAGUGGUUUGAACCAUCACCUCAAGUCACUGCUACCCAUGAUGGGGGAUUUUUAAGUUUGGAGUGUGAGAUUAAACUUGCCUCCAAACGAUCUCGUUUGGAGACUAGGGCUGGAGAAGAAGAUGAAGGAGAAGAGGAUUCUGAUUCUGAUCAUGAAAUAUCUGCCAAGGCUCGCUACUUUGGUUAUAUAAAACAGGGCCUUUACUUGGUAACUGAGAUGGAGCGAUUCGCACCAGCACGGAAACGCCCACGAACCAUUACUAAAAACUACCGCCUUGUGAGUUUGCGCUCCACGACACCGGAGGAACUUUAUCAGAGGAAGAUUGAAAGUGAAGAGUAUGAGGAAGCCUUGUCCUUGGCUCAUACCUAUGGCCUGGAUACUGACCUCGUAUAUCAGAGGCAGUGGAGGAAGUCAGUGGUCAACGUUGCUUCAAUUCAGAAUUAUUUGAGUAAAAUAAAGAAGCGAUCCUGGGUUCUCCAUGAGUGUUUGGAAAGAGUUCCUGAAAAUGUGGAUGCUGCGAAAGAACUGCUUCAGUAUGGAUUAAAAGGCACAGACCUGGAGGCUCUUUUAGCAAUAGGGAAAGGAGCAGAUGAAGGCAGAUUUACAUUACCUGGUGAAGUAGACAUUGACAAUAUCUCCUAUGAAGAACUUUCACCACCUGAUGAAGAGCCUGCCAAGAAUAAAAAGGAGAAGGAGCUCAAGAAGAGACAGGAACUACUGAAAUUAGUGAACUUUUCCAAGUUGACACUGGAACAAAAGGAACUUUGCCGUUGUAGACGGAAAUUAUUAACCUACUUAGAUCGACUUGCAACAUAUGAGGAAAUCCUAGGAGUGCCUCAUGCAUCUGAACAGAGAUAUGAUGCUGAAUUCUUUAAGAAAUUCAGAAAUCAGAAUAUUGUUCUCUCAGCUAGAACUUAUGCUCAGGAAAGUAAUGUACAAGCUCUAGAAAUUCUGUUUACUUAUCAUGGCUCCGACCUGCUUCCUCAUCGCCUUGCGAUUCUCUCCAACUUUCCAGAGACCACUUCUCCACAUGAAUAUUCUGUUUUGCUGCCUGAAGCUUGUUUUAACGGUGACUCCCUGAUGAUCGUUCCUUGGCAUGAACACAAACACCGAGCUAAGGAUUGGUGCGAGGAGCUGGCUUGCAGAAUGGUUGUUGAGCCGAAUCUCCAAGAUGAAAGUGAAUUCUUGUAUGCUGCACAGCCUGAGUUACUAAGGUUCAGGACGACCCAGCUUACGGUGGAGAAGGUUAUGGACUGGUAUCAGACCAGAGCAGAGGAAAUAGAGCAUUAUGCCCUGCAGGUGGACUGUGCAUUGUCACUUAUUCGACUUGGGAUGGAGCGGAAUAUUCCUGGUUUGCUGGUUCUCUGUGAUAAUUUGGUUACUCUGGAAACAUUGGUUUAUGAAGCUGGGUGUGACGUAACUCUCACCCUGAAAGAACUCCAGCAGAUGAAAGACAUUGAAAAACUAAGAUUGCUGAUGAAUAGUUGUUCCGAGAACAAAUAUGUGACAAGUGCCUACCAGUGGAUGGUUCCCUUUCUUCAUCGUUGUGAGAAACAGUCGCCUGGUGUGGCUAAUGAGCUAUUAAAAGAAUAUUUAGUAACUUUAGCUAAAGGGGACUUAAAAUUUCCCCUGAAGAUAUUUCAGCAUUCCAAACCAGAUCUGCAGCAAAAAAUUAUUCCUGAUCAGGACCAACUGAUGGCAAUAGCACUAGAGUGCAUCUAUACCUGUGAACGAAAUGACCAACUCUCUCUUUGCUAUGACAUACUAGAAUGUCUGCCAGAAAGAGGAUAUGGUGAUAAGACAGAGGCAACCACAAAGCUUCAUGACAUGGUAGACCAACUGGAACAAAUUCUCAGUGUGUCAGAGCUUUUGGAAAAACAUGGACUCGAGAAACCAAUUUCAUUUGUUAAAAACACUCAGUCUAGCUCGGAAGAGGCACGCAAGCUGAUGGUUAGAUUGACUAGGCACACCGGCCGGAAGCAGCCUCCUGUCAGUGAGUCUCAUUGGAGAACGUUGCUGCAAGACAUGUUAACUAUGCAGCAGAAUGUAUACACAUGUCUAGAUUCUGAUGCCUGCUAUGAGAUAUUUACAGAAAGCCUUCUGUGCUCUAGUCGCCUUGAAAACAUCCACCUGGCUGGACAGAUGAUGCACUGCAGUGCUUGUUCAGAAAAUCCCCCAGGUGGUAUAGCCCAUAAAGGGAAACCCCACUACAGGGUCAGUUAUGAAAAGAGUAUUGACUUGGUUUUGGCUGCCAGCAGAGAGUACUUCAAUUCUUCUACCAACCUCACUGAUAGCUGCAUGGAUCUCGCCAGGUGCUGCUUACAACUGAUAACAGACAGACCCCCUGCCAUUCAAGAGGAGCUAGAUCUUAUCCAAGCCGUUGGAUGUCUUGAAGAAUUUGGGGUAAAGAUCCUGCCUUUGCAAGUGCGAUUGUGCCCUGAUCGGAUCAGUCUCAUCAAGGAGUGUAUUUCCCAGUCCCCGACAUGCUAUAAACAAUCUACCAAGCUUCUGGGCCUUGCUGAACUGCUGAGGGUUGCAGGUGAGGACCCAGAAGAAAGGCGGGGACAGGUUCUAGUCCUUUUAGUGGAGCAAGCACUUCGCUUCCAUGACUACAAAGCAGCCAAUAUGCAUUGUCAGGAGCUGAUGGCCACAGGUUAUCCUAAAAGCUGGGAUGUUUGUAGCCAGUUAGGACAAUCAGAAGGUUACCAGGACUUGGGCACUCGUCAAGAGCUCAUGGCUUUUGCUUUGACACAUUGCCCUCCUAGCAGCAUUGAACUUCUUUUGGCGGCUAGCAGCUCUCUGCAGACAGAAAUUCUUUAUCAAAGAGUGAAUUUCCAGAUCCAUCAUGAAGGAGGGGAAAAUAUCAGUGCUUCACCAUUAACUAGUAAAGCAGUACAAGAGGAUGAAGUAGGUGUUCCAGGUAGCAAUUCAGCUGACCUAUUACGCUGGACCACUGCUACCACCAUGAAAGUCCUUUCCAACACCACGACCACCACUAAGGCAGUGCUGCAGGCCGUCAGUGAUGGGCAAUGGUGGAAGAAGUCUUUAACUUACCUUCGACCCCUUCAGGGUCAAAAAUGUGGUGGUGCAUAUCAAAUCGGAAUUACAGCCAAUGAAGAUCUAGAGAAACAAGGGUGUCAUCCUUUUUAUGAAUCUGUCAUCUCAAAUCCUUUUGUCACUGAGUCUGAAGGAACCUAUGACACUUAUCAGCUUGUUCCAGUGGAAAGUUUUGCGGAAGUAUUGCUGAGAACUGGAAAACUGGCAGAGGCUAAAAAUAAAGGAGAAGAAGUAUUUCCAACAACUGAAGUUCUCUUGCAACUGGCAAGUGAAGCCUUGCCAAAUGACAUGACUUUGGCUCUUGCUUAUCUUCUUGCCUUACCACAGGUGUUAGAUGCUAACCGGUGCUUUGAAAAGCAGUCCCCCUCUGCGUUAUCUCUCCAACUGGCAGCGUAUUACUAUAGCCUCCAGAUCUAUGCCCGAUUGGCCCCAUGUUUCAGGGACAAGUGCCAUCCUCUUUACAGAGCUGAUCCCAAAGAACUAAUCAAGAUGGUCACCAGGCAUGUGACUCGACAUGGGCAUCAAGCCUGGCCUGAAGACCUUGUUUCACUGACCAAGCAGUUACACUAUUACAAUGAACGCCUCCUGGAUUUCACUCAGGCACAGAUCCUUCAGGGCCUUCGGAAGGGUGUGGACGUGCAGCGGUUUACUGCAGAUGACCAGUAUAAAAGGGAGACUAUCCUUGGUCUGGCAGAAACCCUAGAGGAAAGCGUCUACAGCAUUGCUGUGUCUCUGGCACAACGUUACAGUGUCUCCCGCUGGGAAGUUUUUAUGACCCAUUUGGAGUUCCUCUUCACGGACAGUGGUUUGUCCACACUAGAAAUUGAAAAUAGAGCCCAGGACCUUCAUCUCUUUGAGACUUUGAAGACUGAUCCGGAAGCCUUUCACCAGCACAUGGUCAAGUAUAUUUACCCCACUAUUGGUGGCUUUGAUCACGAAAGGCUGCUGUAUUAUUUCACUCUUCUGGAAAACUGUGGCUGUGCAGAUUUGGGGAACUAUGCCAUUAAACCAGAAACCCACAUUCGGCUGCUGAAGAAGUUUAAGAUUGUUGCAUCAGGUCUUAAUUACAAAAAGCUGACAGAUGAAAACAUGAGUCCUCUUGAAGCAUUGGAGCCGGUUCUUUCAAGUCAAAAUAUUUUAUCUAUUUCCAAACUUGUUCCCAAAAUCCCUGAAAAGGAUGGCCGGAUGCUUUCCCCAAGCUCUCUGUACACCAUCUGGUUACAGAAGUUGUUCUGGACUGGAGACCCUCAUCUCAUUAAACAAGUCCCAGGCUCUUCACUGGAGUGGCUUCAUGCCUAUGAUGUCUGCAUGAAGUACUUUGAUCGUCUCCACCCAGGUGACCUCAUCACUGUGGUAGAUGCAGUUACGUUUUCUCCAAAAGCUGUGACCAAGCUGUCUGUGGAAGCCCGUAAAGAGAUGACUAGAAAGGCUAUUAAGACAGUCAAACAUUUUAUUGAGAAGCCAAGGAAAAGAAACUCAGAAGAUGAAACUCAAGAAGCUAAGGAUUCUAAAGUUACCUAUGCAGAUGCUUUGAAUCAUCUGGAGAAAUCACUUGCCCACCUGGAAACCCUGAGCCACAGCUUCAUCCUUUCUCUGAAGAAUAGUGAGCAGGAAACACUGCAAAAAUACAGUCACCUCUAUGAUCUGUCCCGAUCAGAAAAAGAGAAACUUCAUGAUGAAGCCGUGGCUAUUUGUUUAGAUGGUCAGCCUCUAGCAAUGAUUCAGCAGCUGCUAGAGGUGGCAGUUGGCCCUCUUGACAUCUCACCCAAGGAUAUAGUGCAGAGUGCAAUCAUGAAAAUAAUUUCUGCAUUGAGUGGUGGCAGUGCUGACCUUGGUGGGCCAAGGGACCCACUGAAGGUCCUGGAAGGUGUUGUUGCAGCCGUCCACGCCAGUGUGGACAAGGGUGAGGAGCUGGUUUCCCCUGAGGACCUGCUGGAGUGGCUGCGGCCUUUCUGUGCUGAUGACGCCUGGCCGGUGCGGCCCCGCAUUCACGUGCUGCAGAUUUUGGGGCAAUCAUUUCACCUGACUGAGGAGGACAGCAAGCUCCUCGUCUUCUUUAGAACUGAAGCCAUUCUCAAAGCCUCCUGGCCCCAGAAACAGGUGGACAUAGCUGACAUUGAGAAUGAAGAGAACCGCUACCGCCUAUUCAUGGAACUCCUGGAAUCUAGUCACCAGGAGGCUGAAUUUCAGCACUUGGUUUUACUUUUGCAAGCUUGGCCACCUAUGAAAAGUGAAUAUGUCAUAACCAAUAAUCCAUGGGUGAGACUAGCUACAGUGAUGCUAACCAGAUGUACGAUGGAGAACAAGGAAGAAUUGGGGAAUGAAGUUUUGAAAAUGUGUCGCUCUUUGUAUAACACCAAGCAGAUGCUGCCUGUAGAGGCUGUGAAGGAGCUUUGUCUGCUGCUGCUCAACCAGUCCCUCCUGCUUCCAUCUCUGAAACUUCUCCUCGAGAGCCGAGAUGAGCAUCUGCGCGAGAUGGCACUGGAGCAAAUCACAGCAGUCACUACGAUUUCCAGUUGCUUUGGCGAGAUUGUACCUGCUUCACACCCUGAACUGUGAAUGUCUUGUGAUGGCUGUGUUUCAGAAAGAGGCCCGAUCCCUUAGCCUAAACCCCGGAGAACAGAUGUGCUUUGGAAUUCAGAAUUUGUCAGAUCUUGGAAAGUGCCGGGGGCUUGGCCACAGACACAGAGGAAUUCUCCUUGCUGAAACCGAACACCCUCAUGAGGAGAUCUACUUUCUGGGAUGCUUCUUACCCUUCCUCCCCUUGUCGGUCCGACACCGAUCCCUGGGGCCAGCACACCUCAUCGCUUGUCUGUUUGUUUUUCUAGACCCCUGACUCCAAACCGUGGGUACCCCACUACCUCUCUGUUUUUGUUGUUUAACUCACACUGUGUUAUGUUUGGUUAUUUAGUUGUUUAUUGCUGCUUAACAAACCACCCCAGAACAUAGUGACUGAAGACAACUGUGUUUAUUAUUUCUCAAGGUUCUGUGGGUCAGGAAUCAGGGCAGAGUGGAUGGAGCUGGCUCAUCUCUGUCCCAUGUGACAUCUCCUGGGACUGGGACAAGUUAGACAGCUUCUUCACUUUUCUGCACCUUGGCUGAGAGGGCUGGCAGGCUGAGCUUAGCCAGGACACGGUGUCUCUUUGUGUAAUCUCCCGUGGCCACUCCACAUGGGUUCUCCUUAUAGCCUCUAUAGCAAGGUGGCCAGACUUUAUGCAUAGAGGCUCAGGACUCCCAAAUCACAAGAGCAGAAGCUCUUAGGUCUCCUUGAGACUGAGGCCUGGAAGGAGCAUCUGUUCAGUUGCAGUCUGUUGGUGAGGUCAAGUCACAGGGCAGCUCAGACACAAGGUAGAAAGGGAAAGGUCUAAACAAGGGCGCGAAUAUGGGCGUGGUGGCUCAUAGAGGCCACUUUUGGAUACCAGCCACCACCUUCCUGUGUUCUUCAGUGAUGACAAUAGCUGAGAACAAAGCUGCUGUGCCUAUAGCUAACCCACACGAAAACUUUCUCAAGAGUUUCCUCAGUGAACUUCAUUGAUAAACUUGUGCUAGCCCCAGCUGCCCCUGAAACCCCUGAUUAAUGACUGUCACAGGCUGAGAGCCAGCAGCAGUGGAAGACAUGAUGAUCAAUAGUCUCUGAUUCCAUUCAAGCCCUGUUAGAGCCUCCUCUGCCCGCCUGACAGAGUCGAGAUAGGCCUUCCGGAUGGCUGGAGAGCAGGAGGGCAGUGAAUUACCAGGACAAGUCAAUAACAAAUUGUUUCUUUUUUCCUGUUAAUAAAGCCGGUUCCUGAUAAACACAGGGGCUGCUCUGAUAACAGAACUCUGCUGUCCUGCUUUUCCUCAUUGUGGCCCAGGGCCAGCUGCUUAGGAUUUCUGCAUGCAUGGCAGAAUGUUGAGAUUCAGCAAAUGAAAGGCCUGUGUCGCCUGCGUAAUCUGUCCUUUUGAGAGGAGUGGCAGGAGGAGGGGCCUUGGGAAAAUGUGGGACAGGCUGAGGGUGUGACCUGUAAGCAGGAGUGGGAGGAGGUUGCGCACAGCCUGUGUCCCCAGUGCAGCGUUCCCAGACUGUGUUCUGGAAUCACCAACUCCAAAGGAUGAGACGAUGUGCUCCUCCAGAGAAAGGAGUCCAUGAACAAUAAACUUAGGAAAAGCACAUUUCCUCAGGCUUUUCUUAGAGUGUAUCAGCUCCUCUGCAUGCCACCAAAGGGUCUGAGAAGGCCUGCAGCUAGGGAACAUGUCUAACUCUGUUCAAGCAAGUAUUUCUAAACUUAAGGAUAGGCCCUGCUUUUUUUCUCUAGGACAAGAUUAAAGCCAAGUGUUCUGAGGAGCACACUUUGCAAGGGCUGCCUUAGGAAAAGCCAGGGACACCAAGUGUGGUCAUCUGACCCAGAAGGGAAGAGCAGGGCUCUGAACAGGACCUGAACAGGAGCUAAGCCAUGGGUGAGCAGCAAGGCCUGAAUGGAUAGGUGGUGAAAGUGGGAGACAAGAACCAGGAUAUAUUACAAAAACUGACCAGGAACUCCUAUGGCUUACCUUCCUAUCUGCCAGGGUGUUCAGCCUGGCUUUGAGUGCAGAGUUAUUUCGAGCAGGCUAUGUUGUCCCCAAUGUGUAAGGGUCUGGGGAUGGCGGGUUUAUUUACCCUGACUUCCAAGCUUCAAGUGGCCGUGCAUAACCCCCUUCUUUCCCCUGCCAGGUAUGUCAGACAGACUCACAGUUUGCCAUGUAAGAUCUGAUACAUAUUGCAAACGGCACAACUGCCUAUACUGUGUCAAAUUUAUGAAGCAUUGCAUUGAAAAUUGGGUAUUGUUGGCAUCAGAUAGGGAAGAGAAAAAAGGAAGUAGGAGAGGAUUAAUGAGAGAAAGAGAAAAUGAUUACUCCACUUUUCCAAAUCU